AUGUUUUCCAUCACUUGUAGUACGUACCGGACGCGGACUCUUAACUCUUCUGGCUUAGCCUACAAGUUUAUUCCGGCCGACGCGUAUAUGAUACGAUCGUUGCCCAGCUCGAUCGACCUCCUGCCCUUCGCCAUGGGAAACAUCAUAGGUUCUUCUCCGGCGAAACUCUACGCGCCCGAGACGUGGUCACGAUGUUACACGGAGGGCGACACCGUGAUACACAACUUCGAGAUCGCCGACUUCUCGCUGAUCGACGGCAUGGGCGCCGGCAGCUGGGUCACGUCGAGCACGUUCAGCGCCGGCGGAUGCGACUGGGACAUCAUGUUCUACCCCGACGGACUCAAGAAGAACGAGGCCGGAUGUGCCCACGCCGACACACCGGCGGCCUUCCUCCGUCUCCGUAGAGGACAACCAGGGGUGGAGGUGAUGACCAAGUACACUCUGAGCAUAUGGGGCAAGGAUGGCCAAGUCGUUGAGCAACCGAGCCUGCGGCACACCUUUACCUCCAUGGUUGCGAGCUGGGGCUACGAGGGCUUUGUUCCCAAGUCCAAGCUGCGUGCCCUCAAAGACGACUGCUUCACCAUCAGAUGUGUCUUCACGGUCUUGAAAGAGCGCCACAUCGAAGAUGUGAGCGCCUUCAUCGUCCCGAUCCCGCCGUCCAACUUUCACCAAGACUUUGGGAACAUGUUGAAGGACGGGGAAGGCACGGAUGUGACGUUCGUCGUGGGCGACCAAUCGUUUCAGGCUCAUAGAGCUGUGUUGGCCGCUCGGACGCCGUUCUUCAGGGCGGAGCUCUUCGGUCCGAUGAAAGAGAACAAUAUGCAGCGCAUCAACAUUGAUGACGUGGAGCCGUUUGUAUUCAAGGCGCUUCUUCACUUUAUAUACACAGACGCCCUGCCGGAUAAUCGCGAUGUCAGGAAGAACACGACACUGCAGCAUUUGAUGGUUGCCGCGGAUCGGUACGGGUUGGACAGGCUAGCGGCCAUGUGUGAAGGAGAGCUAUGCCGAGGCAUUGACGUGCAGACAGUUGCAACCACCCUAACUUUAGCGAAGCAGCAUUGUCGCGAGCGACUGAAAGACGUUUGCAUUGACUUUAUGUCUUCGCGGGAUGUGUUCGGUGAUGUCAAGAAGACCGAUGGAUUCAAGCACCUUGUGACAAGCUGUCCGGAGGUCAUGUCAGAAAUUUUACAAGAAAAUUUGCCGUUGCCAGAGGUGGUGCGGACCAAUCCGCGGAGGACACCCGGAUGGCUCAAGAGGCAGCAGCGCUCAUCGCAGGUCCGCCGUGCGGUUCUCGUCUCCGCUUGCGUCUUGGUGCCGGCGGCGGUGGUCUCUUGUCGAGUGUACAUGAGGCGCCGCUAG
Molecule: ribosomal RNA, 1359 nt
Filed under: Triticum aestivum (bread wheat)
Lineage: Eukaryota; Viridiplantae; Streptophyta; Magnoliopsida; Poales; Poaceae
Description: partial small subunit ribosomal RNA
Source: RNAcentral